GGUACGGGAAGCUUCCAACCCCCCUUUGGGGGUUAUGUUUGGUCAAUUUUUUUUGACCGGGGUUUACGGACCCC
RNAcentral lists this unclassified non-coding RNA (74 nucleotides) under Trypanosoma cruzi. RNAcentral describes it as "spliced leader RNA, 5' partial". The record is from RNAcentral. Lineage: Eukaryota; Euglenozoa; Kinetoplastea; Trypanosomatida; Trypanosomatidae.